RNAcentral lists this long non-coding RNA (222 nucleotides) under Mytilus galloprovincialis (Mediterranean mussel). The record is from RNAcentral. Lineage: Eukaryota; Metazoa; Mollusca; Bivalvia; Mytilida; Mytilidae.
UUAAAACGUGUGUUCAGACACAGUGAACACCGAUGUUCAAAUUUUGAUCUAAAAAAGAAGAUAACGUUAGUUGUUUGUCCGAUUUUCUUUCCUUCUAAUUGGCAAAUUUACAAAGAAAUUCAUUAAAAAAUAUGAAUGUAUACGCAGGAUGAUGAUCUUGUGAAUUUUUUACUAAUAUUUUAGUAAUUAUGAAAUAUUAAACUUCUAAGCUGGCAUAUAUGU